CGGAGCGUGUGGUUUAAUUCGUUGCUACACGAAGAACCUUACUGGGUUUGACAUAUGGUGUAGGGAUCCGAAAGGUUGACCGACCUUCGGGGAGCCAUUUACAGGGUGUUGCAUGGCUGUCGUCAGCUCGUGUCGUGAGAUGUUCGGUUAAGUCCGCUAACGAGCGCAACCCUCGCUGUGUGUUUAUAUGUGUCACACAGGACUGCUGGUAUUAAGCCGGAGGAAGGUGGGGACGACGUCAAGUCAGCAUGACCUUUAUAUCCAGGGCUACACACACGCUACAAUGGUCAGUACAAUGGGUUGCCAAGCCGCGAGGCGGAGCCAAUCCUAAAAAGCUGGCCUCAGUUCAGAUUGCAGUCUGAAACUCGACUGCAUGAAGUCGGAGUUGCUAGUAAACGCAGAUCAGCUAUACUGCGUUGAAUACGUUCCCGGGGCUU
This 437-nucleotide ribosomal RNA is filed under the name uncultured Anaerolineaceae bacterium. Its description in RNAcentral is "bacterial SSU rRNA". It matches the Rfam family "Bacterial small subunit ribosomal RNA", at positions 933 to 1382 of the family's 1533-position model. The record is from RNAcentral. Lineage: Bacteria; Bacillati; Chloroflexota; Anaerolineae; Anaerolineales; Anaerolineaceae.